RNAcentral lists this long non-coding RNA (1196 nucleotides) under Coffea arabica (coffee). RNAcentral's name for it is "long non-coding RNA (CARA_LNC008090)". The record is from RNAcentral. Lineage: Eukaryota; Viridiplantae; Streptophyta; Magnoliopsida; Gentianales; Rubiaceae.
CUACAUGAAUGCAAACCCUAGACCUAGGGGGAAAUUUCUCUUCAAAGGUUAAGUGGUGCCAAUCACAUUAAUUGUGAAGCCCAAUAACGAUCCUUCGAAGAAGUCACGAAUAAUGCAAGUGGAAUGCUCAAACAAGGAAAGAAAAUAUGAGAGGUGUGCAAAUGAAGGCAAAAGUGCUCGUGUGCAAGUAAAGGGAUAAAAAAUGCAUAUGUGCAAAUGAGACAAAGUGUUCGUGUGCAAGUGAAGGGAUAAAAAGGUGCACGUGUGCAAAUGAGAGGAGAAGUGUUCGUGUGCAAGUGAAGGGAUAAAAAGGUGUAUGUGUGCAAAUGAGAGGAGAAGUGAAAGUAUAAAAUGAUAAGUGGAUUAAAAAAUGCAUGAGCCUAGGGAAUUCAUGCAUAUUGGUACGGGGAGACCUAAAUCGUGACUUAAUUUGCCCUUUUAUAGAGGGAAUACAAGCGUGCUAAGGCUUAGAAAAAGCCACACUCGUCUAUAUCCCAUAUUUAAGGGGACUCUCAAUCAAAUGAACCCUAUAGCUAGCAUGAAAUGCAAAAAUCCUAAAAUGGAGGGAAAAGGGUUCGAGGGGCAUGCAAAAUGAUAAAACUAAAAAGAAUGCAUGACAUGUAAUGAACAUGCAAAUAUGUGCUAACGAGGGGAAAUCCCUAAGGGUCUAGCGUUGGACUAGCCCAUUCUAUGAAUUCCGACUAGCGUUGGACUAGUGGAAACGUCCAUUCAUCCAUCACAUUCAUUCAGGCUAUGGAAAGCGAGUAGACAUGCCAAACACUCAUAAACACAUAGCACAUAACACUUAGCAUGCUCGACUAGAUGCAAGGUCCUAACAAAGCAAAUUAACACGUAGCAACUAAGCAUGCAAGACACAUAAGACAAUUAAACCCCUAACUAUUACAUUUGCUAGCUAGGCACACGUCUUCGAUAGGUCUUCAUUGAAUGCUCCUCCAAGCCCUAUCUAUUACAUUCACUAACUAAAACAAAAGGGGGAAAGGGAAAAUGGACCAAAUUGCUCGCCAAAGCCCUAUCUAUUACAAGCCAAGAGGUGUACACAUACCCCAUUAAAAGAAUAACUUAAUGAAAACAAAAAGUAAAUGACAUGAGUAAAAGGAAUUAAAGAAAAACUAGGAAAGCAAAGUAGACAUGUAAUUCACUUAGCACAUUGGAUCACAUAGGAGAGACAAAAAGAU